RNAcentral lists this microRNA precursor (59 nucleotides) under Centruroides sculpturatus (bark scorpion). RNAcentral's name for it is "Csc-Mir-34-P20_pre stem-loop". It matches the Rfam family "mir-34 microRNA precursor family", at positions 9 to 64 of the family's 72-position model. Rfam says of the family: Human mir-34a was discovered computationally and later experimentally verified. The mature sequence is excised from the 5' arm of the hairpin. Lineage: Eukaryota; Metazoa; Arthropoda; Arachnida; Scorpiones; Buthidae. The record is from RNAcentral.
UGGCAGUGUGGUUAGCUGGUUGUUAAAUGAAAACAACAACCACUAUCUACAUUGCCGGA